RNAcentral lists this transfer RNA (72 nucleotides) under Saprospiraceae bacterium. RNAcentral describes it as "tRNA-Met". It matches the Rfam family "tRNA". Rfam says of the family: Transfer RNA (tRNA) molecules are approximately 80 nucleotides in length. Their secondary structure includes four short double-helical elements and three loops (D, anti-codon, and T loops). Lineage: Bacteria; Pseudomonadati; Bacteroidota; Saprospiria; Saprospirales; Saprospiraceae. RNAcentral also lists the same sequence under 1 other name. The record is from RNAcentral.
UGUGAGGUAGAGCAGUGGUAGCUCGAAGGUCUCAUAAACCUUAGGUCGGCAGUUCGAAUCUGUCCCUCGCAA